ACAGAGGUCUCAAGCGUUGUUCGGAUUCAUUGGGCGUAAAGGGUGUGUAGGUGGCGCGCUAAGUCGGGUGUGAAAUUUCGGAGCUUAACUCCGAAACUGCAUUCGAUACUGGCGUGCUUGAGGACUGGAGAGGAGACUGGAAUUCAUGGUGUAGCAGUGAAAUGCGUAGAGAUCAUGAGGAAGACCAGUGGCGAAGGCGGGUCUCUGGACAGUUCCUGACACUGAGACACGAAGGCCAGGGGAGCAAACGGG
Molecule: ribosomal RNA, 252 nt
Filed under: uncultured bacterium
Lineage: Bacteria
Description: partial 16S ribosomal RNA
Rfam family: Bacterial small subunit ribosomal RNA
Source: RNAcentral